UACGUAGGGGGCAAGCGUUGUCCGGAUUUAUUGGGCGUAAAGAGCUCGUAGGUGGUUCGGUAAGUCGGAUGUGAAAUCUCCAGGCUCAACCUGGAGGGGUCAUUCGAUACUGCCGUGACUAGAGGUCGGUAGGGGAGUGUGGAAUUCCUGGUGGAGCGGUGAAAUGCGCAGAUAUCAGGAGGAACACCCGUAGCGAAGGCGGCACUCUGGGCCGAUACUGACACUGAGGAGCGAAAGCGUGGGGAGCGAACAGG
This 254-nucleotide ribosomal RNA is filed under the name Acidimicrobiales bacterium. RNAcentral's name for it is "partial 16S ribosomal RNA". It matches the Rfam family "Bacterial small subunit ribosomal RNA", at positions 524 to 776 of the family's 1533-position model. RNAcentral also lists the same sequence under 3 other names. The record is from RNAcentral. Lineage: Bacteria; Bacillati; Actinomycetota; Acidimicrobiia; Acidimicrobiales.